Ictidomys tridecemlineatus (thirteen-lined ground squirrel) is the source of this 69-nucleotide non-coding RNA. NCBI's taxonomy places the organism in Eukaryota, Metazoa, Chordata, Mammalia, Rodentia, Sciuridae. The record is from Rfam.
GGGGUUGUGGCUCAGUGGUAGAGUACUUGCCUAGCAUGUGUGAGGCACUGGGUUCAAUUCUCAGCACCA